AUCAUAUCUUUUAUCAAAACAUUAAUAAAAGCAGUUCUAACGAAUAAUAAAAUAGGACUAAUUGAAAAUUAUGACGUGACUCACAAUAAAAUAAUCAACUGUUAUUAAAUAUUCUAGUGUUUCUAAAAAUUAAAGUACUUCAUGAUGUAGAUCCAUUGGUCCAAUAUGCAUCUAUCCACCGCUGUCCAGCAUACUAAUUAUUACCUGAAAAUUGUAAAUAAAGAGGGAUGAGUAUAACGAAUUAUACUCAAUGAGAUGCUUGCUACUCCACAUUCAAAUCAAACGUGAAAUUAUGCAUAAAUUCUCUUACCAACAUAACAUGAGAAUUAUCACACCAUGACAAAUGAUAAUUCAAGCAAGCGCUGCAAAUAACGUGAAGGCUAAAUUGUGCCUUAAACUGUAUCAUGAUUUCUCCCGAAAGAGCUCUGAACUGAAGUAAUUAAAUCCAUACAUAACAACGUAUUUGAAAAGAUGUGGACAAACCACUAAUAGCACUGAGCAUCUCACCUUUUGAAGAUGAACGUGGAAAGUAAAAUUGCUGAAAACGUGAUUCUUUAUUGCAAUUCCAAAGCCUUAAAAAGCCUUAAUAAUAUGGAGAAAUAUUUUGAAGAGGAGGAGAGAAUAAAG
RNAcentral lists this long non-coding RNA (627 nucleotides) under Olea europaea (common olive). RNAcentral's name for it is "long non-coding RNA (OEUR_LNC008635)". Lineage: Eukaryota; Viridiplantae; Streptophyta; Magnoliopsida; Lamiales; Oleaceae. The record is from RNAcentral.